RNAcentral lists this ribosomal RNA (498 nucleotides) under uncultured bacterium. RNAcentral's name for it is "partial 16S ribosomal RNA". It matches the Rfam family "Bacterial small subunit ribosomal RNA", at positions 28 to 523 of the family's 1533-position model. The record is from RNAcentral.
GAUGAACGCUAGCGGCAGGCCUAAUACAUGCAAGUCGGACGGGAUUGGAGAGCUUGCUUUCCAUGAGAGUGGCGCACGGGUGCGUAACACGUAUGUAACCUACCUUGUUCAGGGGGAUAGCCUCUCGAAAGAGAGAUUAAGACCGCAUAACAUUGCGAUGUGGCAUCACAUUGUAAUCAAAUAUUUAUAGGAACAAGAUGGGCAUGCGGAACAUUAGCUAGUUGGUAAGGUAACGGCUUACCAAGGCUACGAUGGUUAGGGGAUAUGAGAGGAUGACCCCCCACACUGGUACAACGACACGGACCAGACUCCUACGGGAGGCAGCAGUAAGGAAUAUUGGUCAAUGGACGGAAGCCUGAACCAGCCAUGCCGCGUGCAGGAAGACGGCCCUAUGGGUUGUAAACUGCUUUUGCAGGGGAAUAAACCUUGGUACGUGUACCAAGCUGAAUGUACUCUGAGAAUAAGGAUCGGCUAACUCCGUGCCAGCCGCCGCAGUAA